GCACCAGUGGUGUAGCGGUAACAUACUUCCCUUCCAUCAGUAAUGAUAGGAAGUGCUCUGGGUUCGACUCCCAGCUGGCGCA
Molecule: transfer RNA, 82 nt
Filed under: Aspergillus ellipticus CBS 707.79
Lineage: Eukaryota; Fungi; Ascomycota; Eurotiomycetes; Eurotiales; Aspergillaceae
Rfam family: tRNA
About the family: Transfer RNA (tRNA) molecules are approximately 80 nucleotides in length.
Source: Rfam by way of RNAcentral